Molecule: ribosomal RNA, 253 nt
Filed under: uncultured bacterium
Lineage: Bacteria
Description: partial 16S ribosomal RNA
Rfam family: Bacterial small subunit ribosomal RNA
Source: RNAcentral
UACAGAGGUGGCAAGCGUUGUUCGGAAUUACUGGGCGUAAAGGGCGCGUAGGCGGUCUGCUAAGUUGGAUGUGAAAACUCUGGGCUUAACCCAGAGCCUGCAUUCAAUACUGACAGGCUAGAGUUCUGGAGGGGAUAGCGGAAUUCCUGGUGUAGCGGUGAAAUGCGUAGAUAUCAGGAGGAACACCGGUGGCGAAGGCGGCUAUCUGGACAGAGUCUGACGCUGAGGCGCGAAAGCUAGGGGAGCAAACAGG